CCGCACCAAGAUGCUCUCGCGUCAUCAGGGAUUCUAAAGCAUUCUAGGUUUAGAGAAAUUAAGGUUAGGGUUUGGAAAUUGGGGAAAUAUGAAAUUAUGGUUAAUUUAUAAGGGGAAUCUAGGGUUUUAGGUUAGGGUUUGGUUGAAGAAAGAAGAAUAAGGAAUGAUGCAAGAAAAAAAGCUGAAGUGAGGUCCCACAAAACAGUCUAUACGGACUAUUCGAGCGUAUGGAUUCAUACGAACGGCUGGACCUUUUGUUCAGGUAUAGGUUGGGAUGGUUUGGGUUUAAGAAAAAAAAAAGAAAAA
This is a long non-coding RNA of Magnolia sinica, 306 nucleotides long. RefSeq lists it as uncharacterized. The record is from RefSeq and is a predicted model, not a curated record. The transcript has 2 exons. NCBI's taxonomy places the organism in Eukaryota, Viridiplantae, Streptophyta, Magnoliopsida, Magnoliales, Magnoliaceae.